UCCUACGGGAGGCAGCAGUGGGGAAUAUUGCACAAUGGGCGCAAGCCUGAUGCAGCAACGCCGCGUGAGGGACGAAGGCCUUCGGGUUGUAAACCUCUUUUAGUAGGGAAGAAGCGACUGGGUUUUCCUGGGAGUGACGGUACCUGCAGAAAAAGCACCGGCUAACUACGUGCCAGCAGCCGCGGUAAUACGUAGGGUGCAAGCGUUGUCCGGAAUUAUUGGGCGUAAAGAACUCGUAGGCGGUUUGUCGCGUCUGCUGUGAAAACCCGAGGCUCAACCUCGGGCCUGCAGUGGGUACGGGCAGACUAGAGUGCGGUAGGGGAGAUUGGAAUUCCUGGUGUAGCGGUGGAAUGCGCAGAUAUCAGGAGGAACACCAAUGGCGAAGGCAGAUCUCUGGGCCGUAACUGACGCUGAGGAGCGAAAGCAUGGGGAGCGAACAGGAUUAGAUACCCUGGUAGUCCAUGCCGUAAACGUUGGGAACUAGAUGUGGGGACCAUUCCACGGUCUCCGUGUCGCAGCUAACGCAUUAAGUUCCCCGCCUGGGGAGUACGGCCGCAAGGCUAAAACUCAAAGGAAUUGACGGGGGCCCGCACAAGCGGCGGAGCAUGCGGAUUAAUUCGAUGCAACGCGAAGAACCUUACCAAGGCUUGACAUAUACCGGAAACGGCUGGAAACAGUCGCCCCGCAAGGUCGGUAUACAGGUGGUGCAUGGUUGUCGUCAGCUCGUGUCGUGAGAUGUUGGGUUAAGUCCCGCAACGAGCGCAACCCUCGUCCUAUGUUGCCAGCACGUAAUGGUGGGAACUCAUGGGAUACUGCCGGGGUCAACUCGGAGGAAGGUGGGGAUGACGUCAAAUCAUCAUGCCCCUUAUGUUUUGGGCUUCACGCAUGCUACAAUGGCCGGUACAAAGGGCUGCGAUACCGCAAGGUGGAGCGAAUCCCAAAAAGCCGGUCUCAGUUCGGAUUGAGGUCUGCAACUCGACCUCAUGAAGUCGGAGUCGCUAGUAAUCGCAGAUCAGCAACGCUGCGGUGAAUACGUUCCCGGGCCUUGUACACACCGCC
Molecule: ribosomal RNA, 1059 nt
Filed under: uncultured Cryobacterium sp.
Lineage: Bacteria; Bacillati; Actinomycetota; Actinomycetes; Micrococcales; Microbacteriaceae
Description: bacterial SSU rRNA
Rfam family: Bacterial small subunit ribosomal RNA
Source: RNAcentral